AAGUCGUAACAAGGUUUCCGUAGGUGAACCUGCGGGAAGGGAUCAUUAACUGAGUUAGGGUCUUUCAUGGCCCGACCUCCAAUCCCUUGUGGUUAAACAUACCACGAUUGACUUCGGCGGGCCCGUCCUCUCGAGGCACCGCCGGGAGGGCUUCCACCUCUCUGGCCCGUUGCCCGCCGGUGGCCAAACCACAAAACUCUUGAUAAACACUGUCGUCUGAGUUACAUUUAUUUAAUUAAAAAAUAAAA
RNAcentral lists this unclassified non-coding RNA (248 nucleotides) under plant metagenome. RNAcentral's name for it is "partial contains small subunit ribosomal RNA and internal transcribed spacer 1". The record is from RNAcentral.